This 505-nucleotide ribosomal RNA is filed under the name uncultured bacterium. RNAcentral describes it as "partial 16S ribosomal RNA". It matches the Rfam family "Bacterial small subunit ribosomal RNA", at positions 28 to 507 of the family's 1533-position model. The record is from RNAcentral.
GACGAACGCUGGCGGCGUGCCUAAUACAUGCAAGUAGAACGCACAGUUUAUACCGUAGCUUGCUACACCAUAAACUGUGAGUUGCGAACGGGUGAGUAACGCGUAGGUAACCUGCCUGGUAGCGGGGGAUAACUAUUGGAAACGAUAGCUAAUACCGCAUAAUAUUGAUUAUUGCAUGAUAAUUGAUUGAAAGAUGCUAUUGCAUCACUACCAGAUGGACCUGCGUUGUAUUAGCUAGUAGGUGAGGUAACGGCUCACCUAGGCGACGAUACAUAGCCGACCUGAGAGGGUGAUCGGCCACACUGGGACGGAGACACGGCCCAGACUCCUACGGGAGGCAACAGUAGGGAAUCUUCGGCAAUGGACGAAAGUCUGACCGAGCAACGCCGCGUGAGUGAAGAAGGUUUUCGGAUCGUAAAGCUCUGUUGUAAGAGAAGAACGGGUGUGAGAGUGGAAAGUUCACACUGUGACGGUAUCUUACCAGAAAGGGACGGCUAACUACGUG